This 363-nucleotide ribosomal RNA is filed under the name Triticum aestivum (bread wheat). Its description in RNAcentral is "partial small subunit ribosomal RNA". Lineage: Eukaryota; Viridiplantae; Streptophyta; Magnoliopsida; Poales; Poaceae. The record is from RNAcentral.
AUGUCGCAGGACACAUUUUCUAUCACCGCACUUCUACAUUCCGAUAUUAUAUUCAGUAAAAGCAAAAUUCAAAUACCACAGAGCUACCAAUCUGAGAAAAGCACAACUAUAGAAAACAAAUUGCCCUUUUGCUUGCAGGUACACUCAGGAGAUGGGCCUAUGAACAUGGAAGCAGAUGAUAAUUUCCUUUCAAGCAUUUUACGUUCUGAAAUGACAAAAACACAAGGGCCACCCAAAGAAAAUACACAAAACAAAAUCAAAAUAGUACAAGAAAAGGAAAACACACUUGAUUCAAAUAGAACUUCAAAAGAGAUUUGUCAAACCCUCCUUCAUCACCAGAUAGUUCCUGCAAAAAUAUAUUAA